AGUGAACGCUGGCGGCAGGCCUAACACAUGCAAGUCGAGCGGCAGCGCGGGGGCAACCCUGGCGGCGAGCGGCGGACGGGUGAGGAAUUCGUCGGAAUCUGCCUUUUUGUGGGGGAUAACGUAGGGAAACUUACGCUAAUACCGCAUACGUCCUACGGGAGAAAGUGGGGGACCGCAAGGCCUCACGCAGAAAGAUGAGCCGACGACCGAUUAGCUAGUUGGUGGGGUAAAGGCCCACCAAGGCGACGAUCGGUAGCUGGUCUGAGAGGAUGAUCAGCCACACUGGGACUGAGACACGGCCCAGACUCCUACGGGAGGCAGCAGUGGGGAAUAUUGGACAAUGGGCGCAAACCUGAUCCAGCCAUGCCGCGUGUGUGAAGAAGGCCUUCGGGUUGUAAAGCACUUUUGUCCGGAAAGAAAUCCCUGGAGCUAAUACCUUCGGGGGAUGACGGUACCGGAAGAAUAAGCACCGGCUAACUUCGUG
This 484-nucleotide ribosomal RNA is filed under the name uncultured bacterium. Its description in RNAcentral is "partial 16S ribosomal RNA". It matches the Rfam family "Bacterial small subunit ribosomal RNA", at positions 29 to 507 of the family's 1533-position model. The record is from RNAcentral.